This 2473-nucleotide long non-coding RNA is filed under the name Phaseolus vulgaris (common bean). RNAcentral describes it as "long non-coding RNA (PVUL_LNC001734)". Lineage: Eukaryota; Viridiplantae; Streptophyta; Magnoliopsida; Fabales; Fabaceae. The record is from RNAcentral.
AGCACGGAGGAGGGAUACAUGAAAUACCGGGUGUACUCGCGAGGUGGUUGGUAAACAGAGUUCGUAGGCCACAGCGCCGAUGCGGUGGCGCACUUGAUUAAGCCCCGAGUAACGAGGGGCGAGCUUCGAACAUGUACGAAGCUCCACCGAUUGUUGGCGGUGAGGUUGAAGACGUACCCAUACCCAGUCAUCGGGGUUAAAAGAGCGUUCAGAUCAGUGGCGGUUGGCCUGGUCGCACAUUCGUUGACAGGCCUGAUGAAGGUUUUGUUUGAGGGCGUGGAGAACCAACGUGUGUUGGUGCAAUAAAUCAACAACGGUGGUGCCUGAGCGUGGACUGUGCAACAGAUCUAGGGCGGUGGGAGGUUGUCUUCCGUACAGAGCAUGGAACGGUGAGGUUCCAAUGGCAGAGUGAUAAGUCGUAUUGUGACAAAGUUACGCUAGAUGAAGAUAUUGGAACCAAGUGUGAGGAUGUUCGCCUGCAAAGCAUCGUAGGUAAUCUUCCAAACUUCGAUUAAGAGCUUCUGUCUGUCCAUCAGUUUGCGGAUGAUAAGCAGAACUGAACUUUAAUGUUGUGCCUUGUGCCUUGAAUAGGUGUUUCCAGAACGUGCUGAUAAAUAGUGGAUCUCGGUCUGAGACAAUGGUUUUUGGCAGCCCAUGCAGACGACAAAUCUCAACCGAGAAUCGCUUGGCAAGUUGUUGAGCAUUGAACUGUUUGGGAAGUGCCACAAAGUGAGCAUACUUCGUGAGGCGAUCACAUAUGGCCCAUAUCACCGAGUGACCUAUAGAGGCGGGUAAGUGUGUUAUAAAAUCCAUUGAUAAAUCUUUCCACACUUGAUCUGGUAAUGGGAAGGGUUGGAGUAAUCCAUGGGGUUUUGUUGGCAAAUACUUGUUACGCUGACAUGUGGUGCAUUGUUGAAUGUAGUUCUUGACAUCUCUAGUCCACCCCGGCCAGUAGAAGGCAACAGCAAUGCGAGCAAGGGUGGGUUUAAUACCGGAAUGACCCGCUGUGGGCGAUUCAUGUAGUUCUAGGAGGAUGCGGUUUCUGAAAUUGUUGGUAUCUAGAAUAAACACUUGGUGCCGAAAGAAGAGCAGACCAUGACGGACUGAGAAGAUGUUGGGUCCUUGUGUAUCUUUAGUGCAAGCGUCUACUAAUCUUGUUCCUUCUAUGGUGGAAUAAAAUUGCUGUAACUCUUCAAACAACAAUGGUAUUGGCGACGAGAGUGCAAGCAACAUUGAAGGUGGAUCUGUGUCUUGGCGUGAGAGAGCAUCUACAACCACAUUUUGCUUGCCAGGUCGGUAUAGAAUUUGGAAAUCAUAUCCCUGUAACUUUGAUGUCCAUCUUUGUUGUUCUGGAGUUUGUAUUGUUUGUGACUGAAGUGUAUUUAAACUUUUUUGAUCUGUGAUUAUUUUGAAGUGUUGCCCCAACAAGUACUGACGCCAUUUUUUUACUGCUUCUGUGAUUGCAUACAUUUCUCGGACAUACACUGAUGAAGCUUGGAGCCUUGGACACAUUUUCUUGCUGAAGAAGGCUAGUGGGUUCCCCUUUUGGCUGACCUCCACGACUACUGCAGAUGCGUCUAUUUCCACAACAAAAGGCAAGGAAAAAUAUGGUAGGUGUAGUGUAGGAACUUGAGAUAUUUGUAAUUUUAAUUUUGUAAAGGCCUCCUGAGCUGAGACACUCCAUGUAAACUUUUGAUUAUGCAACAAAUCGGUGAGAGGAGCGGCGAGAGUGGCGUAGUGAUAAACAAACUUCCUAUAAAAUCCUGUGAGGCUGAGAAAACCACGUAAUUCCGUGAGUGAACGUGGUUGCGGCCAAUUGUGUAUGGCAAUCACCUUUUCUGGAUCAGGGGCUACUCCUUUAGCUGAAAUGAUAUGGCCCAAAUAAUUUACUUGAGAAGUGGCAAAACUGCACUUAGAUAACUUAGCAAAAAAUUUCUUAGUAUGCAAAACUUCUAAGAUAAUCUUUAAGUGCACAAUAUGUUCCUGCAAAUUGGGACUAUAAAUCAAAAUAUCAUUAAAGAAAACAAUGACAAACCGCCGUAAAUAAGGUCUGAGAAGGUCAUUCAUGGCUGCCUGAAAAGUGGAGGGUGCAUUAGUCAAUCCGAAAGGCAUGACUAAAAAUUCGUAAUGUCCAUCAAUGGUUCUAAAAGCUGAUUUAUGAGUGUCUUGAGGAAUAAGUCGAAUUUGAUGAUACCCAGAGUAUAAAUCAAUCUUAGUGAAAACUGUAGUUGAGCCUAGUUCAUCGAGCAAUUCAUCGAUGGUAGGGAUGGGAAAGCGGUCAUGGAUGGUGGCUGCAUUUAAGGCUCUGUAGUCCACACAAAAGCGCCAACUACCAUCUUUUUUUUAUGAGGAGGACGGGGGAAGAACGGGCUUGUGCUGGGUUUAAUGAUACCCUCUUGAAGCAUCUCAGAGAUGAGUUGGGUUAUAAUUUCCUUGUGGGAGUAGGGAUAACGAUAUGGUUUAACAUUAAUGG